Molecule: ribosomal RNA, 467 nt
Filed under: uncultured bacterium
Lineage: Bacteria
Description: partial 16S ribosomal RNA
Rfam family: Bacterial small subunit ribosomal RNA
Source: RNAcentral
ACGAACGCUGGCGGCGUGCUUAACACAUGCAAGUCGAACGGAAAGGCCCUGCUUUUGUGGGGUGCUCGAGUGGCGAACGGGUGAGUAACACGUGAGUAACCUGCCCUUGACUUUGGGAUAACUUCAGGAAACUGGGGCUAAUACCGGAUAGGAGCUCCUGCUGCAUGGUGGGGGUUGGAAAGUUUCGGCGGUUGGGGAUGGACUCGCGGCUUAUCAGCUUGUUGGUGGGGUAGUGGCUUACCAAGGCUUUGACGGGUAGCCGGCCUGAGAGGGUGACCGGCCACAUUGGGACUGAGAUACGGCCCAGACUCCUACGGGAGGCAGCAGUGGGGAAUAUUGCACAAUGGGCGGAAGCCUGAUGCAGCAACGCCGCGUGCGGGAUGACGGCCUUCGGGUUGUAAACCGCUUUCGCCUGUGACGAAGCGUGAGUGACGGUAAUGGGUAGAGAAGCACCGGCUAACUACGUG